RNAcentral lists this ribosomal RNA (269 nucleotides) under uncultured prokaryote. RNAcentral describes it as "partial 16S ribosomal RNA". It matches the Rfam family "Bacterial small subunit ribosomal RNA", at positions 524 to 792 of the family's 1533-position model. The record is from RNAcentral.
UACGGGGGGUGCGAGCGUUAUUCGGAAUUACUGGGCGUAAAGAGCGCGUAGGCGGUCUUUUAAGUCAGGUGUGAAAGCCCGGGGCUCAACCCCGGAAGUGCACUUGAAACUAAGAGACUUGAGUAUGGGAGAGGGAAGUGGAAUUCCUGGUGUAGCGGUGAAAUGCGUAGAUAUCAGGAGGAACAUCGGUGGCGAAGGCGACUUCCUGGACCAAUACUGACGCUGAGGCGCGAAGGCGUGGGGAGCAAACAGGAUUAGAUACCCCCGUA